This 253-nucleotide ribosomal RNA is filed under the name uncultured bacterium. RNAcentral describes it as "partial 16S ribosomal RNA". It matches the Rfam family "Bacterial small subunit ribosomal RNA", at positions 524 to 776 of the family's 1533-position model. The record is from RNAcentral.
UACGGAGGGUGCGAGCGUUGUCCGGAUUUAUUGGGUUUAAAGGGUGCGUAGGCGGCCGUUUAAGUCCGGGGUGAAAGCCCGCUGCUCAACAGCGGAACUGCCCUGGAUACUGGAUGGCUUGAGUACAGACGAGGUUGGCGGAAUGGACAGAGUAGCGGUGAAAUGCAUAGAUACUGUCCAGAACACCGAUUGCGAAGGCAGCUGACUAGGCUGAUACUGACGCUGAGGCACGACAGCGUGGGGAGCGAACAGG